ACUGAAAAUCUUCGGAGUUGUGGUCUGGAGAAGUAAGGCAAAUGGUGGAAACCUUCGUAAAGUCGCAUGGAAAGGCGCGCCAAGGAGGGUGAGAGCCCCGUUCAUACGAAGGUAGAAGCCGGCGUCUGCUUCCAUGAGUCGAGUUGUUUGGGAUUGCAGCUCUAAUUGGGUGGUAAAUUCCAUCUAAAGCUAAAUAUGGGUAGGAGACCGAUAGCAAACAAGUACCGUGAGGGAAAGAUGAAAAGAACUUUGAAAAGAGAGUGAAAAAGUACCUGCAAUUGCUGAAAAGGAACCGAUGGGAAGUAGUGUGGGUGACAGUAGUUCUCUGCUGUUACCGGUCUCGCUUCCUUGGCGUCGUGGGAAAAGGCCUUAAAAACCUGUCAUGAUGCCGAGGGACUGAGACAAAAUGCUUCUCAUCAACCCGUCUUGAAACACGGACCAAGGAGUCUAACAUGUGUGCGAGUGUUCGGGAUCGAAUCCCCAGCGCGAAAUGAAAGUAAAGUCCCAUUAGGGAUGAGGUAGGAGGAGCAAUCCGCACUAUCGACCGACUAUGAUUCUUCGGAAGAAAGGUUUGAGUAUGAGCAUACAUGUUGGGACCCGAAAGAUGGUGAACUAUGCCUGAAUAGGACGAAGCCAGGGGAAACUCUGGUGGAGGUCCGUAGCGAUUCU
RNAcentral lists this ribosomal RNA (669 nucleotides) under Poteriospumella sp. RNAcentral describes it as "eukaryotic LSU rRNA". It matches the Rfam family "Eukaryotic large subunit ribosomal RNA", at positions 113 to 887 of the family's 3401-position model. The record is from RNAcentral. Lineage: Eukaryota; Chrysophyceae; Chromulinales; Dinobryaceae.